AUUGCCUCAGUAACGGCGAGUGAAGCGGCAACAGCUCAAAUUUGAAAUCUGGUCCUUUCAGGGCCCGAGUUGUAAUUUGUAGAGGAUGUUUCGGGUGCGGUGCGGGUCUAAGUCCUUUGGAACAGGGCGUCAUAGAGGGUGAGAAUCCCGUAUGUGACCCGUAACCAACCCCAUGUGAAACCCCUUCGACGAGUCGAGUUGUUUGGGAAUGCAGCUCAAAAUGGGUGGUAAAUUUCAUCUAAAGCUAAAUACUGGCCAGAGACCGAUAGCGCACAAGUAGAGUGAUCGAAAGAUGAAAAGCACUUUGGAAAGAGAGUCAAAAAGUACGUGAAAUUGUUGAAAGGGAAGCGCUUGCAACCAGACCUGUCCGCAGGCGAUCAACUCCCGUUCGCGGGGGUGCACUCGUCUGUGAUCAGGCCAGCAUCGGUUCGGGCGGUCGGAUAAAGGCCUUGGGAAUGUAGCUCCUUCCGGGGAGUGUUAUAGCCCUCGGUGCAAUGCGGCCAGCCCGGACCGAGGACCGCGCCUUCGGGCUAGGAUGCUGGCGUAAUGGUUGUAAGCGACCCGUCUUGAAACACGGACCAAGGAGUCUAACAUCUAUGCAAGUGUUUGGGUGUCAAACCCAUACGCGUAAUGAAAGUGAACGGAGGUGAGAACCCUUAAGGGCGCAUCAUCGACCGAUCCAGAUGUCUUCGGAUGGAUUUGAGUACGAGCAUAGCUGUUGGGACCCGAAAGAUGGUGAACUAUGCCUGAAUAGGGUGAAGCCAGGGGAAACCCUGGUGGAGGCUCGCAGCGGUUCUGACGUGCAAA
RNAcentral lists this ribosomal RNA (807 nucleotides) under Cladonia rangiformis. RNAcentral's name for it is "LSU rRNA". It matches the Rfam family "Eukaryotic large subunit ribosomal RNA", at positions 74 to 897 of the family's 3401-position model. Lineage: Eukaryota; Fungi; Ascomycota; Lecanoromycetes; Lecanorales; Cladoniaceae. The record is from RNAcentral.